This 1243-nucleotide ribosomal RNA is filed under the name metagenome. Its description in RNAcentral is "bacterial LSU rRNA". It matches the Rfam family "Bacterial large subunit ribosomal RNA", at positions 1564 to 2815 of the family's 2925-position model. The record is from RNAcentral.
UGAAUACGAGACGCUAAGGCGUCGAAGUAGUGUAUGUCAUACUUCCAAGAAAAGCUUGCACUGUCAUAAGUAAAAAGUGCCUGUACCAUAACCGACACAGGUGGGUAGGUAGAGUAUACUAAGGGGCGCGAGAUAACUCUCUCUAAGGAACUCGGCAAAAUAACUCCGUAACUUCGGGAGAAGGAGUACCUUAUUCUAUAAGGUUGCAAUAACAAGAUCCAAGCAACUGUUUAUCAAAAACACAGGUCUCCGCUAAGUCGUAAGACGAUGUAUGGGGGCUGACGCCUGCCCAGUGCCAGAAGGCUAAAGAAGUCGGUUAGCAUUAGCGAAGCUGGUAACUGAAGCCCUGGUGAACGGCGGCCGUAACAAUAACGGUCCUAAGGUAGCGAAAUUCCUUGUCGGGUAAGUUCCGACCCGCACGAAAGGCGUAAUGAUUUGGAUACUGUCUCGGAGAGGGGCUCGGUGAAAUAGACUUGUCUGUGAAGAUGCGGACUACCUGCACCAGGACAGAAAGACCCUAUGAAGCUUUACUGUAACUUGAAAUUGAAAUUGGACUUUAUUCGCGCAGUAUAGGUGGGAGGUGUUGAUUAUAAUCUUGCGGGAUUAUUGGAGCCAUCAGUGAGAUACCACUCUUGUAAUGUUAGAUUUCUAACUUUGAAUCAUUAUCUGGUCAAAGGACAGUUUCAGGCGGGCAGUUUGACUGGGGCGGUCGCCUCCCAAACGGUAACGGAGGCGUACAAAGGUUUCCUCUGAACGGGUAGAAAUCGUAUCUAGAGUGUAAAGGCAUAAGGAAGCUUGACUGUGAGACCUACAAGUCGAACAGGGACGAAAGUCGGUCUUAGUGAUCUGACGGUACUGAGUGGAAAGGCCGUCACUCAACGGAUAAAAGUUACUCUAAGGAUAACAGGCUGAUCUCCCCCAAGAGUUCACAUCGACGGGGAGGUUUGGCACCUCGAUGUCGGCUCAUCGCAUCCUGGGGCGGUAGUACGUCCCAAGGGUUGGGCUGUUCGCCCAUGAAAGCGGUACGCGAGCUGGGUUCAGAACGUCGUGAGACAGUUCGGUCCAUAUCCGGUGUAGGCGUUAGAAUAUUGAGAGGAGCCUUCUUUAGUACGAGAGGACCGAGAAGGACAUACCUCUGGUGUACCAGUUAUCGUGCCAACGGUAAACGCUGGGUAGCUAUGUAUGGAGUGGAUAACCGCUGAAAGCAUCUAAGUGGGAAGCCCACCUCAAGAUAAGUAUUCAC